RNAcentral lists this long non-coding RNA (748 nucleotides) under Linum usitatissimum (flax). RNAcentral's name for it is "long non-coding RNA (LUSI_LNC003752)". The record is from RNAcentral. Lineage: Eukaryota; Viridiplantae; Streptophyta; Magnoliopsida; Malpighiales; Linaceae.
AAGAAAACGAAUCGAAGAAGAAGAAUAAAAAAAAGAAGAAUCGAAGAAAAAGAAAAAGAAUCGAAAAAAAGAAAAAGAAUCAAAGAAGUAGAAGAAUUGAAGAGGAAUAGAAAAUGAAGAACGGUGAACAAUGAACAAAGAACGACGAACGAUGAAUGCAAAAACCCAGUGAGUUUCUGUGUUUCUUUAUUAACAUGGGAUAAAAUCCGCUGUUAGCUUUAACAGCGGAGAAAAUCCACCGUUAACCGUUCUAAUAUUACUUAUCCUAACGGCAGAUAUAAAUCCGCCGUUAGGAUGUCUAAAUGUGAAAUAUCGUUUAAAUACAUAAAAAAAAAAUCGGUAACCAUGCAUUUUAGUGUAUUAACAGCGGAGAAAAUCCACCGUUAACCGUUCUAAUAUUACUUAUCCUAACGGCAGAUAUAAAUCCGCCGUUAGGAUGUCUAACUGUGAACUAUCGUUAAAAUAGAUAAAAAAACCAUCGUUAACCAUGCAUUUUAGUGUAGUGAAUGAAUGUGCUAAUAAUCAUGCAUAUCAUCGUCAUCAAAUCUUGCUAUGUCCAGAGUUGGCUAGCGACUAGAUAGUAGCUAUGGAUAUCGAGAUCACCCUGACUAAGUUUAGCGAGUUCAUACUCGGUUUCCAACUAGCAAGAAGUAUUAACUGAGCAUAUGUUUGUUUCAGAUGAUUCAAGAUUUCUAAAGAAUAAGUGAAGCAAUGUAGGGAUAGAGUGAUUGGAGUAGAGACAGACCCA